GGUAACAGGCCGCAAGGUGCUGACGAGUGGCGAACGGGUGAGUAAUGCAUCGGAACGUGCCCAGUCGUGGGGGAUAACGCAGCGAAAGCUGCGCUAAUACCGCAUACGAUCUAUGGAUGAAAGCGGGGGACCGUAAGGCCUCGCGCGAUUGGAGCGGCCGAUGUCAGAUUAGGUAGUUGGUGGGGUAAAGGCUCACCAAGCCAACGAUCUGUAGCUGGUCUGAGAGGACGACAGCCACACUGGAACUGAGACACGGUCCAGACUCCUACGGGAGGCAGCAGUGGGGAAUUUUGGACAAUGGGCGCAAGCCUGAUCCAGCAAUGCCGCGUGCAGGAAGAAGGCCUUCGGGUUGUAAACUGCUUUUGUACGGAACGAAACGGUCUGGGUUAAUACCUCGGGCUAAUGACGGUACCGUAAGAAUAAGCACCGGCUAACUACGUGCCAGCAGCCGCGGUAAUACGUAGGGUGCAAGCGUUAAUCGGAAUUACUGGGCGUAAAGCGUGCGCAGGCGGUGAUGUAAGACAGUCGUGAAAUCCCCGGGCUCAACCUGGGAAUUGCGAUUGUGACUGCAUCGCUGGAGUGCGGCAGAGGGGGAUGGAAUUCCGCGUGUAGCAGUGAAAUGCGUAGAUAUGCGGAGGGACACCGAUGGCGAAGGCAAUCCCCUGGGCCUGCACUGACGCUCAUGCACGAAAGCGUGGGG
This 700-nucleotide ribosomal RNA is filed under the name uncultured bacterium. RNAcentral's name for it is "bacterial SSU rRNA". It matches the Rfam family "Bacterial small subunit ribosomal RNA", at positions 68 to 766 of the family's 1533-position model. The record is from RNAcentral.